AGGUUGCGGUAAGCUGAGAUCUCCACUCCAGCCUGGGCGACAGAGCAAGACCCUGUCUCAAAAAAUAAACAGUUUGAAAUUCUGUUUGAAGAACUUUGGGAUUCACUUUGAAUAGUCAGUAGUUACCCAGGACUAUUGCAAAACAGAGACCAGCACUCACAGUACUGAGCAAUAGCCAGCAGGGCGGUUGGGCAGAGGAGGUGAGCACAGUUUUGGGGCUUUCAUUGGUGGUGUAAUGUGUCCGUUGCAUCUCUGGUGGUGAGUAUUAGCAAAGUCCUGAAUCAUAUCCAUCCGUCUAUGUUCACUUCAGACCUAAGGGUUGAAAUUAGUCACUUCCAAAUGAGUAAAGCAGAGGAUGUCAUUUUGAUCGAACACCAACUCUCUGAUAUUAUUCCAGAUGUUUCCUGGAAAUUUGGUUGGAAAGGUGGUGCACUGGAACAUGUUUACAGGAUGAGGGGGAAGAGGCAGAAGAGACAAGAUCAAAGAUGAAGGAGAAAGGGGGAUUCUUGGAGCGAGAUCCCUGAGGAGGCAAGAGUUGGAGCCCUGUGGGACAUUGGUUUUGAGAGAACAGAUAGGGCGCAGGCAAGCUUACGGCAGAAGGGUCCCUGGCACAGAUCAGUCACACCCAGCAGCUUGUGUAUCCUCUGUGGAGAAGAGGGGGGUCAUUUGUUGAGUGGUCAUGGUGACUGGAUACAGUCGUGAGUGCCAUAAGUCCUUGAGGGCUCAGCUGAGGCAGGGCAACUUGUAUUUGCGGACAGUCUGGCAAAGUGGUUCUAAGUGUAAAAUCCAGAGCCACACUGCCAAGGUUCAAUCCUGGCUCCAUCUCUGACUAGCUGUGUGACCUCAGGCAAGCCCCUUAAUUCUUCUGAGCCUCAGUUUCCUUUUCCGUUCAGUGAGAACGGAAUGACAUCCAGCUCAGGUUUUCAUGAGGGUUCAAUAAGUUGUUCUUGGUUCAGUACUAGGGACCACACCUGCCAUGUAGUUAGACACUGUAGUGUUAGCUCUUGUUAUUGCUUUAAAUAGAAAUGAUGACUAAGGAGAAAGGCCUAUCCUAAUUGCCAUGAAUUGGCCCAUAUGAAAUUACUUGAUACCAGCAGCUGUCUAAAUAUUGCCCGAUUUUAAGCUCGGCUCUUAACAACCCAAGUAUAAGAACUAAAUAGAGGCAAGGCACAAAAAAAAAAAAAAGUUUUUUUUUUUUUUUUUAGCUCACUGUGGUUUCCUUCAAACCCUGCAGGAUUUCUUUCGUGCCACAAAUAUGUAGUUUUUGGAAUUUCUGUAGUGACUUUUACUGUUUAUUCUGCUUUGUGGAUAGCAUACUCGUGCCUGGGGAACAUGGGUCUUGAGAAAUGUGAAGCUGGAUGGUGGCAAACCAUUAGUCCUUGGCUUCUAGGCUGUGGAUACAUGGCUGCCUCUGAUUUGGGAGAUUUCCUGUAUAUUGCCUCGUUUCUAGUUAAGGAUUCAAGUUGACAGACACUUUGUUUUAGGUUACAUCUAUCAUUGAAAUGUGGGGUAACUGAAAGGCCAACAAGAAAAGAGUGUGCUUCCUCCCCAGGUGUGGUUUUCCUGGGGGCGAGGGACGAGGCCGGUGGCAAAUCCGCAGCCCCAGGAAGAUGCAGCACAGACUUUUGGAGCUUCUCUUGUCACUGCCCUGGAUCUUCUUUCGGCCUCAUUCUAGUUGCUGUCAGUGGGUAAAUAUGUUCACAGAUUAGAACGCCUUCGUAACUAAGAUAAAGCCACAAGGUUUAUUUUGUUACAGUUCCUGUGUGCUUGCUUAAAGGCUUUGAGAGUACAUUCAUGAUAUGAUUCUGGUAACUCCUGUUUUAAUUCUUAGAUGCAUUGAUAAGCAUACUGUAUUGCUGUAAACCAGUGUGAAGCAUGGAGGGGGUUCAAAUGAACCGGUAAGAAAAAAAUUGCAAUCCUUGGAAAGCCAUGCGAUUACACAAGAUUAUAGAAAGGCCCUGAGGUUUCUCUGAUUUAGCCCUUUCAUUGUGCAAAUAAAGCAACCAAGGACUUUUGAGUGUACAUGGGAUUUGCCAGAUAUCUUUCUAUUAGUUAAUGAACAAGAUGGUAUUAGAAGGUGAGUCAUCUUUUCCACUGCACCAUACUACUUACGUUCUGCCUCUUUGGAGUCCUUCAUUUCAUUUUUGGUUAUUCCUUUUUCACCUGGUAAGUCCUCCACUGGUGUUUGAAAGAAUGCACGAGAGUUGCCCUUCAUGGGCCUGCACACAGGGCUGGGCAGGGAUUUCUUUCUGUCAACGGUGCUGUAAUGUUUAAGACCCAGCUGGAGUCAUUUUCCAAGCAUUUGACCUGACUUCCUGUACUGUGUGUCCUCCCAGGGGGAGAGAUUGAUCCCGAUUAAAUGAGUUGUUCCGAGUGAUGCACAGAGCAUCAGUGUCUGAAUUGGCCUUAGCAUUCACUUUGAGCUCCUUCGGUUAAAAGCCUGGUUAGGGCGAGCUGUUGGCCAGGUGAAACUGUUGCUGUCGCCCUGACACUGUGAACCAAAUCUCCUUUAAAUGACAACAUUGUUAGAGUCCUGUGGCUGCUUGUAAACAUAUUUUGGCUUCAGUUGCUGCUUUCUUGACCUGAAAUUAUAAAAUGAAUUGGGAGUACCUGUUGCAAAACUACAAAUUUUGACAAGAACAUUGAGAUGUCGGCUUCUUUUUGCUGAAAUACUGAGGCAAGACAUUUCAAGAAAAUUUUAUGUUCCCAUAGAAUGUCACAAGUGACUCUGGCAUAAAUUCCAGGUUGAAACCUUACCAUGUAAUUAUAGUUUCCCCGCUUCUUGUCCUUUGGGCAACCUUUCUUUUCUGUAAGAAAUAUAACUGGUCCCCUGGGUGGCAGGAAAUCCAGGUGGGGGGUGCGCUGCUUCUGGUUCGGCGGACUGUAAGGUAUGCUGCACAGGGCUUCCUUGGGCCUGGCCCCACACUUCCUUUGCACCAGCACUGUCCUGCCAAAAGCCAGAAAUCCUGGAAGAGGGCCGAAUCUAGUUUAUUACUUGCCUGUUGGAAAUGUAGGCUUGUGUUUUUUGGCAAGGCAUGAGCAGAGCCCGGUUAUUUGACUGCUCUGAGAUUUAGCUCCAUUCCGUUUUUGGACAAUGACAUAUGAGCAUGUGUGAACAGCAGCCCCAUUUCCCCCCAGUUUGCCUGCCCUAGACAUGCCCCCAGACAGCUGGCUCUGCCAGCUUUCCCGAUGCCAGGUUCUAGAGCCCCUGUUCUUCUCCCUCCCCUGCUCAUUUCCAGUCCGCCAGAGUGGGCAGUGUCAGAGGUCCCAUGUAGUCUCCUCUCUUGUGAGGAACACCAGAGCACCUGUAGUCUCUAAGCCAACUAGCCGGUAUCAAGGGCUCCUGGGUUAUGGAAAUGAAACCAGGGCUGGGAAAAGAUGUUCCCUGUCCCGUAUCCCUUUCAAUGAAGAUAAACACGAAUUUUAGCAAAUUAGAGCAUUGCUGCAGUGCCUAGAACAAUGCCUGGCGUGUAGUAGAUGUUUAAUAAAUUCUUGUUUAAUGAACAACUUAUAUAUUCUUCAAUUAUUUCAUCCUAGGGACUGAUAAGUUUUCUCAUUCUAUCAGAGAAAAUAAAGGUUAUGAGGGUUGCAUUAGGUAGAGUAAGCUAGGCUACAGCUAAAAAUAGACUCAAAGAUGUGUAAUGGCUCAAAUGCAACAGAAGUUUAUUUCUUGCUCUUGUUCAAGGUGGAUGUUUCUGGUUAGCAGGUGACUCUCCUCCAUUGAGUUCAGGGAUUCAGGUUCCUUCCAUCUUGUGACUCUGCCGUCCCCAACGACCACGUUGUUGAUAGUGUCCAGUGGCAAAAGGGAAAAAAGAGUGGACUAGCACAGAUAGGAGGUUCUUACGGGCCAAACCUAUGAGUGUUGCCUAUGACUUCGGCUAGAAUUCAAUUACAUGGCCACAGCUAACUCCAAAGAGGCUGGGAAAUACAGUCUAUUGUGUGCCCAGGGGUACACUAAAUUUUGAACAUCUGUGUCAUCUUCGAGCUUAGAUUCCUAAAAUGUAUCUGCAGCCCAACUUUGAGAUUCAGAAGUCCUGAUACAAGGUUCCAUGGUAAAUUUUGCUUGGUUUAAGUCCUCCUGCCAAUGAAAACCAAGUGACAUUAGGAAAAGGUCUAUACUUUUAACAAUAAGUAAAAAAAAAAAAAAAAAAAAAAAAAAA
This is a long non-coding RNA of Cercocebus atys (sooty mangabey), 4160 nucleotides long. RefSeq lists it as uncharacterized. The transcript has 2 exons. Lineage: Eukaryota; Metazoa; Chordata; Mammalia; Primates; Cercopithecidae. The record is from RefSeq and is a predicted model, not a curated record.